Molecule: ribosomal RNA, 290 nt
Filed under: uncultured bacterium
Lineage: Bacteria
Description: partial 16S ribosomal RNA
Rfam family: Bacterial small subunit ribosomal RNA
Source: RNAcentral
GAUGAACGCUAGCUACAGGCUUAACACAUGCAAGUCGAGGGGCAUCGGGAAGAAAGCUUGCUUUCUUUGCCGGCGACCGGCGCACGGGUGAGUAACACGUAUCCAACCUGCCCUCUACUCGGGGAUAGCCUUUCGAAAGAAAGAUUAAUACCCGAUGGCAUAAUGAUUCCGCAUGGUUUUCAUUAUUAAAGGAUUCCGGUAAAGGAUGGGGAUGCGUUCCAUUAGGUUGUUGGUGGGGUAACGCCCACCAAGCCCUUCGAUGGAUAGGGGUUCUGAGGAGGACGGUCCCC